RNAcentral lists this ribosomal RNA (400 nucleotides) under uncultured bacterium. Its description in RNAcentral is "bacterial SSU rRNA". It matches the Rfam family "Bacterial small subunit ribosomal RNA", at positions 357 to 774 of the family's 1533-position model. The record is from RNAcentral.
AGGAAUUUUCCGCAAUGGGCGCAAGCCUGAUCCAGCAAUGCCGCGUGGAUGAAGAAGGUUUUCGGAUUGUAAAGUCCUUUCGGCGGGGACGAUGAUGACGGGACCCGCAGAAGAAGCCCCGGCUAACUUCGUGCCAGCAGCCGCGGUAAUACGAAGGGGGCUAGCGGUGCUCGGAAUGACUGGGCGUAAAGGGCGCGUAGGCGGCUUGUACAGUCAGAUGUGAAAUUCCCGGGCUUAACCUGGGGGCUGCAUUUGAUACGUGCGGGCUAGAGUGUGAAAGCGGGUCGUGGAAUUCCCAGUGUAGAGGUGAAAUUCGUAGAUAUUGGGAAGAACACCGGUGGCGAAGGCGGCGACCUGGUUCAUGACUGACGCUGAGGCGCGAAAGCGUGGGGAGCAAACA